GUGGGGAAUCUUGCGCAAUGGGCGAAAGCCUGACGCAGCCAUGCCGCGUGAAUGAUGAAGGUCUUAGGAUUGUAAAAUUCUUUCACCGGGGACGAUAAUGACGGUACCCGGAGAAGAAGCCCCGGCUAACUUCGUGCCAGCAGCCGCGGUAAUACGAAGGGGGCUAGCGUUGCUCGGAAUUACUGGGCGUAAAGGGCGCUGAGGCGGACAGUUUAGUCAGAGGUGAAAGCCCAGGGCUCAACCUUGGAAUUGCCUUUGAUACUGGCUGUCUUGAGUUUGGGAGAGGUGAGUGGAACUCCGAGUGUAGAGGUGAAAUUCGUAGAUAUUCGGAAGAACACCCGUGGAGACGGCGAAUCACUGGCCCAAUACUGACGCUGAGGCGCGAAAGCGUGGGGAGCAAACAGGAUUAGAAACCCGAGUAGUCC
This 425-nucleotide ribosomal RNA is filed under the name uncultured bacterium. Its description in RNAcentral is "partial 16S ribosomal RNA". It matches the Rfam family "Bacterial small subunit ribosomal RNA", at positions 354 to 796 of the family's 1533-position model. The record is from RNAcentral.